CAGAGGGAGAAGCAGACUCCCUGCUCAUCAGGGAGCCAGAUGUGGGACUUGAUCCCAGAACCUGAUAUCAUGACCUGAACUGAAAGCAGAUGCUUAACCGACUGCUUCCCAGGCACCCCCACACUUAGCUUCGUUCUAUGUCCCGUGUUGCUCCCAGGCCUGGGAACUGUGGGCACAUGGAGAGAGGAGCCAGGAAAUUACAAGAAGUAGGGAGAAACAGAUUCCAGACAGAGCAAGGAGCCAGCUUAUGACAGUUUCCUCCCUUUCCUCUCCUGCUAAGUGAAAACAGUAUGCAAGGGAUUGAGACGGAGGCCUCUUGUUUUCACAAUGGUUGUUCUUUGCACACCAGGUGCAUAACCAAUGUGCACUAAGUAUUUUUCAGUAAGCUAAUUGAUUAAGGGACUGUUUCCAAAAUUUCUGCUUGGGACUCAAACAUUAAGGCCAUCAACAAGCUAGCAAACUGCCCUUUCUCAGAUGUUGCUUCCUGUUUCUGAUUGUAAUUCCCCAUGCCAAGCUUGCUAAUUGGCUCAUUUGCCUUGGGUCCACUGUAUCCUAAGCUUUGUCCACUCACGUAAAUAGCAGAUUAGUUCCAAUAGGACUAUGGUGCACAAUGCCUACUUUUUGGCUUCCCAGCAUCUGAAUCCACAUCCUACUUGUGGGGAGGCCCCCAGUGUGGCAGCAGAGAUGGAAAGCAGGCUCCCACUUCCCACAAAGGAAGCCAGAAUAGAAAGCUAGUGUUUUCUAUCCCAUCCCUCUGGAAUCAGAAUGAAGGCAUAGAGUUUCCUUGAACCUGUGGGAUCUUCCCACCAGGGACUUCAACCUUGAAUGAGUGACAGAGAGACAGAUGAGUGAUGAGAUCCAGUUCAUAGCCAUGGCAGUGGUCAUUUAGCAAAGGCAGUUAUGUGGUGUCCUGUGGUGGGGACUGUGUAUGAUUUGGUGGUGGCAAGCUUGUUUCUACUGUCUGGAUGCCUCUACCAGCCCUCCCAUCCAUGUGGACAAUGACCUGACAUCACUCCAAUAGAUAACAUUUUGCUUGAGUUAACCAGAUUUGAUUUCUGUUGGUUGUGAUUAGGAACUUUGAGUGAUAACAGGAAAAGAAGAAAGACAGUCUCUCCAGCCCUUUAAAUCACCUUUACCGUGCAGCAUGAGUUGAAAUAAAGGCUCCAGCCCUUGAAUGACUCCUGUGAUGGUUAAUUUUAUGUGUUAACUUAAUUGCUAGCAGUACCAUUCUAGGGCAAGAUAGUAAAUAAUUAUUUUUUGGUCAGAUGAUUAAACCUUAUGGCAAGUUACAUUCUCAAAACAGAAAGUCUCUCUAUUACUAUUUGGGCUUGUAAAAUGAUCGAGAUAGAAACUACACUGUCAGAAAGAAAGCAUAAGGGAUCAGGAAUUGGGAAAGCAGGAUUCCAGCACUAGUCUGCUUUUCAAUCAUUUAUUUUGUGCCGGUAGCCAAUUUCCAUUUUUGGUAACUUCCCACUUCUAGAAUGAGAGUACCCAUUCUAGAUGUCACCAUGUUACUUUUAUCAGAGGUAAUGAUGAUAUAUGGAAAUUUGGAAGUGAUUUUACUUAUGAUCGUGCUUGAAAAGUAAAAAUUUUAAACCAAAUAGUACUAUUGGCCAGCAACAUUUUCAGACAGUUAUGAAAACCUAGCUCUUAUCCAGCACGCGACCGGGAUUUCAAAAUUGUUUUCUGCAAAGGUUCUGGUCUGUUUUUGGAUCCUCUACAGAAAACAGUCAAGUCCUCAGAGAGGCCGCAUAUUCACUUGAACUUUAGCUAUGAGAGGUUCAUUGUGUCUCUAUGUUCCCUUCUCUGGGAGAAUAUGAAAGGAAGGAAUUUGGCCUACUAUAUAAUUUUUUUUUUUAAAUUAGCAUGGACUUGGAGUCAGAGAAUCCUGGGGUCAAAAUCCAAUUCCCACCAUCUAAUUGGUUGUAUGAUGUUGAGUGGGUUAUUAUUUAAUUUCUGAGUCCCCAUCUCUUCAUAUAUAAUAGAAAAAAAAAAUACCUUCCUUAGAGACAGGAGGGAGGAUCGGCUGAAGUCACGUUUAUAGACAUCUGAUGGGUUACCUUGCAUAUCCUGGUGCACAGUGUCUUUUGGUUCCCUUUUCCUUCCCUGUAUGAAGAAUUUUUAGGGACGCUUGGGUGGCUCAGUUGGUUGUGCAUCUGCCUUCAGCUCAGGACAUGAUCCCGGGGUCCUGGGAUGGAGCCCCAGGUCAGGCUUCCUGCUCAGUGGGGAGUUUGCAUCUCCUUCUCCCUCUGCCCUACCCUCUGCUCAUGUGCUCUUGUGCUCUCUCAAAUAAAUCUUAAAAAAAAAAAAAGAAUUUUUAAACAAUGCCCAAGACUCAAUCAAGGAUAAGAGAAUUAUGGGUCAAUGAGUAGAAUUAGGUGCAAUAUAUGAAUCUGUAUCUUGAGAAAAAUGUGAUCUCAAGUAAAGGUCUAAUCAUAGUAACAUUAGCUCGUAUCGACCAAGAAAGAAUAAAAGUUGGAUCACAUCCUAUAUUUCCAGAAAUUCCAGAAGUUUCCAAAAAUGAAAGGGGAGAAAGCUAACUGUUGAUUACCGAGACCUAAAAGUUGGGAGCUACAUAUUUUUUUCAGUUUGUCCACUCUAGGUCUCACUGAGUAACCAGACAAAUGCUUCAUUUUUCUGAAGUUAGCUUCCCAAAUCGGGGAAUGAGGGAUUUAUUUUAUUUUGCUGGGCAGUCAAUGCCAUGUGCUCGGAGAGUCUUGGAUGAGAGAUGGAGUCCAUCUGAAAUAUUGUUGUUGACAAAAGUAAAUCAAACAUCAAAACCUCCAGGGCUCUAUUCAUCACUUCUCCUCAGAAAAGCUGUGUAGGGCAUUUCUGGUGAAAUAUAACACGUAACCCAAUGCAAAUUUCUUGCAAAUUAUUUUCAUAGGAUAAAAUAUUAUUUCACUGGGACUGUCACUCUUACUUUAACAUUUUACUUGGAAGACAGCCCUCAAACCUGCUGACCAAAAAAUUUCUAUUGCUCUUUUGGGGUAGUUAAAAACUAGAGACAGAAAUAAAGGCAAAAGAAAAAAAACCCCAAAACGAAAAACCAAAACAAAACAAACAAGCAAACAAAUGAACAAAAAAUGAAAUGAAGCCCAAAAAAAUGACUCAGGGAGAAAAAAACCACUGACAGCCCUCCCAAAUCUUACUUGAACUGCAAAGAUUACCAGGAAUGUUUGGGUUUGAUGGCAUUUGUGGGAUGUCAGCUAAAACAACAUGGUUCUCUUUUCUGGAAAUAGUGACUUCAAACAUAUCACUUCAGACUCUUCUCAGCAAAAAGCACAGAAAACGAAAAAGGAAGCUAGAGCUUCUCUCUCUGUACCAGUCUCUGUCUCCCACCCUACCCCAGCAGAGUGAAGGUCUUGAAAGCCAAGAAGGGCCACACUGAAAGUGUCCACACCCACACUCCCUAGAGGCUGCCGCACCUCCCAAAACCCCAGGCAUUUCAGGGCCAUGGAAUGCUUGGCAGAGUGCCCCUCAGAGAAAUGUUGGCUCACCAAGUCAGCGUCACGCUUCCCCAAUCGCGGAGUCCACCAUGAGGCAGGUGGGAGAUGAACCCGUGCUGGCACUAACCAUGGAGACAAGCAGGAGGACAAGCAUGAAGAAGCUGAUGGCGAGGCAACGGAGAGACGCUGUUAGAGCAGCCCUGACUCAUACUGGGUCUCGUCAAUAAAGAAUUUUCCCUCCCUCCAGAAUGCUACAUGAAGGCGUGUUUGGUGUUUGUGAUCAGCAGGUUAUGCACACGCUGGACUGGUCACAUGCUGAACCUAUAAAGACAUGGAGGCUGGCGGUGCUAAUUCCACUGGGUUAAAUUCCACAAGGAGGACAGGUUUUAUUAAAGCUGGAGCCAGGCGGAGGGAGGCAGCUGUGGGCUGGGGCAUUGGGCCCGAGGCGGAAAUUUGUACCUUCCUUCCCCUGCCUGCCACAGGAUUCCAUCCCAUCCUCUGGAAGAAAGAGAGAGACAGAGACAGAGAGAAAGGAAGAAGGAAGAAAGGAAAAGAGAAAAAAACCUCCUAAACUCUGCAGUUAUUCUAUAUGAUCUUGAUUUUUGUUGUUGUUUUUUGUUUUUGGGGAGCCCAACAUGGGGAUUGAACUCACAACUUUGAGAUCAAGACCUGAGCUGACAUCAAGAGUCAGCUGUUUAACCAACAGAGCCACCCAGGCACCCCUAUUUGAUCUUGACCUUAAAGGGAAACCUUUCCUCUGGCUUGGGGUCUGGCUGGGUGUUGACAGGCUACAUGGCACCUUGGGGAUGCUGUCACAGGGGCAGGAAAAGCAUUUUGCAAAGGUGACAGGCCUGUGGCCCCCUGACCCUCAACUUAGAGUCUCUUCGUGGCACAGCCCCUUUGGAAAGGCUUGGGCACCACUCACCAUUUACUGUCCUUCCUCUGACGCCCUGUUCUUUGACCUCCACUAACAAAUGACUUCCUGAUUACCUAAGCUGGGCCGCACCUGCCUCUGCGGACCAAGCUGUCACCCAAGAACUGUGCAGGGCUUCAUUGAAAUUCACGGAUCCACUGUGAAGUUACCUCCCUGGGCGUAUUUAUCUGGAAGGGCGAGCUGGCUGCUUUGGAGUGUCUGGUGAUUAACUGUUUCUUCUUUGCCUUUUUUUUUUUUUUUUUUUAAACCCAUGCAAGGGCUGAGAAAGGAAAAUUCAAUCCUUGCUACUUGUGGAGUGUUGGGUCGGCAGUGUGGGCAACUUUGACAUGGGGACAAGUGCGGGUCCCCAGUGUGAAGUAGGGUGAGGGGAGAAAAGAUCACAGAAUUUCUGAAGCUCGAGUCAGUGGCAUUCAUGAGCAAAUCAUCCGUCUCCUGGUUCUUGACCUCCUUUGGGCAUUGGGAGGGCUGAUGAGCUCAUGCUUAUGAAGAGUGUAAGCCUUUAAUUGAAGUAUAAUUAAUAAUCAUCUGAUAAGUGAAUAACAAUAAUAAUGAUGAUGUAAUCCCCUUCCCCCACAGCCCCACUCCUGUUUCCUUGGGUAGUAACAUCAUGACAUGAUGUCCCAGUGUACUCAAUUAGAUGAAUGACUGGAGGUGCAGACAGAGCACAGCUAAGCGCCUGCUGGCACAGUCCAGGGUUGGCCUGCCACCGAGAAACCCGAGGGCACAGAACAAUGGAGCAAUGUUCUCUAAGUGUUGUGCUGUUUGGAUAAUGGACAAGUUCAAGCUGUUUCAUGACUCAGGACAGAAUUAUUCAAUCAAUUUCACAAGCAGGUGUGGAGGGCUCCUUUGGGUUCGGUGGUCUCUCUUGCUUCUGGGUGAGCUAAGAGCCCCAGCAGUUUUGGGGUAUUUGCUUGUGUAUUUCCUUCACCAUCAACCCUUUGCACAGGUUCCACAAAAUGUGCCAGGGACUCUCAUUGCUCUGGUGGCUCUGCUGUGACCCUUCUGUGCUGACCCUGCUGUGAUGGGACAACAGCAGCCUGAGGAAAGAUCCCCGUUGGAGCAGGGAAGCCCCGGGGGGCAUUUGCAACUGCAAGGGGCAUUUCUUCCCUGGCAUCUGAUGCCCAGCCCAGCUUCAGACAUCGGCCUGUUGCUCUGGGGUCAGGCCAGUUUCUAAAACACAUUCAGGAACAACCUUUAUUUUGACCCAACGAGGGGAAAAGAAAGGAGAGAGACAGCUCGCUUGGCCCCAGCUCAGGUAGGGUGGGCCAGGUCAGGCGGCUCACAGCAGGUGCCCAGCUGUAUCUGUUUCCAGCAGUUCCAUUAACACUUGGCAAGUUUCACUCACCUUCAGCAUUUGUAACAUGCAAUUGUUGACACAACUAAUAUUACUUCAUGCUCUCGGGUCUUUAUGUGUUCCCUUGCCAUUGUCAUCAGAACACAGGAUCUAUGGGGUUCAUUUUCUAUAGAUGCUGUGUUUGUUGAUGGCAGGGAGACAGUGUAUGCCCCCCUUCCCCAACCUUCCCCCCCAAAACACAGUGCCCUCAUUUUUUCUUUCUGGAUUGACGUUAAGCACUUAAUGUAAUUGCCUUGCAGAAAAAAAUAGCGAGAGAUGUACAGUCAGCCACACCGUGGCCUCAUAUUUCAAAAAUAAGCCAGGCUUCUUUUUAAAUGCUCCUUUACAGGGUGUGAAAUCAAUCAUGUCACGCGGGGUCCCCCAUGGUGCAGGGGAGGCAGACGCUUGUCUUACUCUAGAAACACAGCCAAUGAGUUGAGUCCUUCUCCUUCCCUGCCCACACCCCACCUACCCUCGGUGGUUCAUCCUACCACUUCCUACUUGGCUUCUCUUCAGUGGGCUUCCUCUUUUAUGUUGGCAGCUCGCUCUGUGAUUCUCAUCUGCUCGGUACACAGAAACCAUGACCGUUAAUAGUCCAAUCUCCUCCCUGAUGUCCGCCUGUUCAUUGGCCUUGGCCUCUGUUAGAGCACUACAGUUCAUUCUAGUGACUUUCUCAGUGUGACUCAGUUCCUGAAUCCUGGCCGUUCUCCAUACCCUCCCCUUUACCUUAUCUCCCUGGAAAUGCCUUUUUUUAAUGCAGACCCAGGCCUGCCUUCCCUCAAGCAACGCUCUCCUUUGCCUCUUGUGGAGCCAGCCCUCAAGUAGAAGCAGAGAAAAGAGAAAGCUUUUGACAAUUUGUUCUUGCUGAUCUAUUGUAUUCGGGGAUGGGACCAAGAGUAAAGCAAAAACAGCUUAGAGAAGUGAAUCCUGUAUAUAACUAAAGGUUAUAGUUUUCUUCUACUCGCUGCUUACCUGCUGAUGGAGAAUGAUCAAGGCUGACCUUAAGAAAAUAGCAGCUAAAGAGGGGACUAGGACAAAGGGGUUGGAAAAUCUACAAGCCAGGCACACAGCCCUUAGCUGUGCUGUGUUUUACUCACCUCCUGGCCCUGCUGAAUAGUUUUGCUGGGGCUCUGGGUGAGCCAGACCACCUUCCAAAAAACCAUUCCUUGCCUCUGCCUGCUUGGCGCUGGAUUUCCUCUUCUUAUGACUGGUGUGUGUGCUCUGACACCCAAGGAGGUGAGGCUCUGGUCAUUACUGUUUCCUAGCCACCUGCCUUGGAGAGAAUAGUCAGAACACACCCAUUUUGCCCCUCGACCUGACCUGUUCAGCCUGGCUGCAGGGGGCCCGGAGCCCUUCUCUGUAUGUGCACAUGCACACUUACACAGGAUGUGCUGGCUAGCCAUCUUGGCGUGUUUUCUAGUUAAUAACUCAAAAUCUGAAUGUGAUAGCUCUUUUCUCCAUAUGUCAUGAAAUCUGAGUUUUUGAGGGGUUGUCUUGUCAAGAUGCUUGUAGCUGGUUCAGAAUAAUGACUACAAAUAGGAUUAUACCAAGGAAAUCAAAAUACCAGGCUGCACAAGGGAGACUGCCAUCUCCCCUUGGGGGUUUCUUCUUUUCUUCUGUUUCCCCAGAAUAGUAAGCUUAGGUCUUUUUUUGAUAAUUAAUUAAUUAAUUAAUUAUUGAGAAAGAGAGAGAGGCAC
Long non-coding RNA from Lutra lutra (Eurasian river otter), 7413 nucleotides. RefSeq lists it as uncharacterized. NCBI's taxonomy places the organism in Eukaryota, Metazoa, Chordata, Mammalia, Carnivora, Mustelidae. The transcript is spliced from 4 exons. The record is from RefSeq and is a predicted model, not a curated record.